This 61-nucleotide ribosomal RNA is filed under the name Pasteurella multocida. RNAcentral's name for it is "partial 23S ribosomal RNA". Lineage: Bacteria; Pseudomonadati; Pseudomonadota; Gammaproteobacteria; Pasteurellales; Pasteurellaceae. The record is from RNAcentral.
AGUGAUACAUUGAGCUAACCAAUACUAAUUGCCCGAGAGGCUUAACCAUACAACGCUCAAG